RNAcentral lists this transfer RNA (74 nucleotides) under Candidatus Methanofrustulum fimipullorum. Its description in RNAcentral is "tRNA-Trp". It matches the Rfam family "tRNA". From Rfam's summary of the family: Transfer RNA (tRNA) molecules are approximately 80 nucleotides in length. Their secondary structure includes four short double-helical elements and three loops (D, anti-codon, and T loops). Further hydrogen bonds mediate the characteristic L-shaped molecular structure. tRNAs have two regions of fundamental functional importance: the anti-codon, which is responsible for specific mRNA codon recognition, and the 3' end, to which the tRNAs corresponding amino acid is attached (by aminoacyl-tRNA synthetases). tRNAs cope with the degeneracy of the genetic code in two manners: having more than one tRNA (with a specific anti-codon) for a particular amino acid; and 'wobble' base-pairing, i.e. permitting non-standard base-pairing at the 3rd anti-codon position. Lineage: Archaea; Methanobacteriati; Methanobacteriota; Methanomicrobia; Methanosarcinales; Methanosarcinaceae. The record is from RNAcentral.
GGGGCUGUGGCCUAACCUGGUAGGGCGAUGGGCUCCAGACCCGUCGAUUGUGAGUUCAAAUCUCACCGGCCCCA